GGUUGGUCCAAGUGCAGUGGUGUUUACAACUAAUUGAUCACAACCAAUUACAGAUUCCUUUGUUCCUUCUCCACUCCCACUGCUCCACUUGACCAGCCUUAA
RNAcentral lists this Y RNA (102 nucleotides) under Propithecus coquereli (Coquerel's sifaka). Its description in RNAcentral is "Y RNA (ENSPCOG00000007944.1)". It matches the Rfam family "Y RNA". From Rfam's summary of the family: Y RNAs are components of the Ro ribonucleoprotein particle (Ro RNP), in association with Ro60 and La proteins. The Y RNAs and Ro60 and La proteins are well conserved, but the function of the Ro RNP is not known. Lineage: Eukaryota; Metazoa; Chordata; Mammalia; Primates; Indriidae. The record is from Rfam by way of RNAcentral.